ACUCCUACGGGAGGCAGCAGUGGGGAAUAUUGCACAAUGGGCGCAAGCCUGAUGCAGCAACGCCGCGUGAGCGAUGAAGGCCUUCGGGUCGUAAAGCUCUGUCCUCAAGGAAGAAUAAAUGACGGUACUUGAGGAGGAAGCCCCGGCUAACUACGUGCCAGCAGCCGCGGUAAUACGUAGGGGCAAGCGUUAUCCGGAAUCACUGGGCGUAAAGGGUGCGUAGGCGGUUUUCAAGUCAGAAGUGAAAGGCUAUGGCUCAACCAUAGUAAGCUUUUGAAACUGUUAAACUUGAGUGCAGGAGAGGAAAGUGGAAUUCCUAGUGUAGAGGUGAAAUUCGUAGAUAUUAGGAGGAACACCAGUGGCGAAAGGCGACUUUCUGGACUGUAACUGACGCUGAGGCACGAAAGACGUGGGAGGCGAACAGGAUUAGAUA
Molecule: ribosomal RNA, 433 nt
Filed under: uncultured bacterium
Lineage: Bacteria
Description: bacterial SSU rRNA
Rfam family: Bacterial small subunit ribosomal RNA
Source: RNAcentral